GAAAGCCGGACACCCGAGAUCCCAUUUGUUUCGUCUCCAUUAAUCAUUCUCGAUUCACCGGUGAGUUUGUUUUGAUUUUCUAUUAUUAAUUUAAAAUCGUCUGUUUUAAUUGGUGGAUAGCGGCUGACGCCAUAGGCCGACCUGGCCGUAUCGCGCCGCACCGAAAUGUAGGCUAAUGGUGGCUUCGAUGGAAAUUGGGUCGCGUCUUCCGAUUCGGCCACCGGCACCAACCUUAAUUGGGUAGAUCACACGCCGCUGACUUAUUAUUUACCUACACGGGUUUACGUCUGGAGAAAAUCACGUGAUCUCCCCGGGCCGAAUGUCACCGGGAUGGCUAAGGGGGACGGUUCGUUAACCCUGGCCGAUCUAGUUAACCUCCUCCGCCUCCAUCUCUUAACCGAAUAUAAUCUGCAUAGGACAAAUGGAAAACGAUUGCCAAACUGGAAACCACCUUCCGGUAGAAGUUUAAAUAAAACGGCUAGGACAAAGGAAGAGAUCUUCGGUGCUUCCAGCUGGAGAAUCGAUUCGAAUGCCUACAAAAAUAAAUCUGUUUUCGUGAAUUUGUUCGGUUACGCUCGGACAACGGGCCGGCUUUAUCAAUCGACCGGAUGACAUUCACGCUCCGAUCAUUCUUAUUCCGACGUGUUCAGAAAUUGUAUUUUCCGGUGCGUGAACCGGGAAGGUAGUUUUAAUCGAUAUUCUCUGCACUUAAGAAUGGUCGAGUCACCGUGUCUGAAACGUGACAAUGGCUUUAACACUCGGAGUGCCCACUUGUGUCUGGACGCUAAUUCGGUCUGCCAGAAGUUGUUUGUUCGGUAGGCGCCCGUUCUCCGGGGUGAAGUGGUGUCGGGUCGAGUAGAAAAGUCUCGAUUGUCUUAGCGGCACCACCGCCGGUUGGCCGGUGGUUACUAAUU
Molecule: long non-coding RNA, 914 nt
Filed under: Androctonus crassicauda
Lineage: Eukaryota; Metazoa; Arthropoda; Arachnida; Scorpiones; Buthidae
Source: RNAcentral